GGGGGUCCCCGGUGCCCGGACC
RNAcentral lists this microRNA (22 nucleotides) under Oryctolagus cuniculus (rabbit). RNAcentral describes it as "Ocu-Mir-615_5p* (star (passenger))". Lineage: Eukaryota; Metazoa; Chordata; Mammalia; Lagomorpha; Leporidae. The record is from RNAcentral.